CAUGCAGGCGGUCGGACGCGUUUUGUGUGACAGCGCGUGGCUCAACCACGCGAGCAUGCGAAAGACGGUUGGACUUGAGGGCUCGAGAGGGACACGGAAUUCCGGGUGGAGUGGUGAAAUGCGUAGAGAUCCGGAGGAACACUGAAGGCGAAGGCAGUGUCCCGGCGAGCGACUGACGCUGAGGUGCGAAAGCCAGGGGAGCGAACG
RNAcentral lists this ribosomal RNA (207 nucleotides) under uncultured bacterium. RNAcentral describes it as "partial 16S ribosomal RNA". It matches the Rfam family "Bacterial small subunit ribosomal RNA", at positions 568 to 774 of the family's 1533-position model. The record is from RNAcentral.